Molecule: ribosomal RNA, 110 nt
Filed under: Salmonella enterica subsp. enterica serovar Derby
Lineage: Bacteria; Pseudomonadati; Pseudomonadota; Gammaproteobacteria; Enterobacterales; Enterobacteriaceae
Source: RNAcentral
CCUGGCGGCCGUAGCGCGGUGGUCCCACCUGACCCCAUGCCGAACUCAGAAGUGAAACGCCGUAGCGCCGAUGGUAGUGUGGGGUCUUGCGCAGCAACGGCCCGUAGGGU